AUGACAUCAUAUGGGUGGCUUAAGCUGCCCUCAGAUCAAGUGUUGGAUUAUGCAUCAAUACUCCCCGAGAUCCAAACAGAUCUUGUAGAAGUAAGAAGCAACAAAGAUUGUACGAAGAAACAGAGUUGCUUAGUGGUGGCAAGAUUUAAUUGGUUCAAUUCUGCCAGCAAUGCCAUCAGGGGCGGAGACAGCCCAGUGGGCCGCCCCAGGACGCCUUUGUACACUGUAGCAGAUGUCUACAGUAACUACUACAAUAUACACUGCGUAUGGGCCUCACAACCCAGGCCUGGGCCCUGGGGGCCUGGAUCCGCCCCUGAAUGCCAUCGAUGCUUUCAGAAGAGGGGGCUUGUUAUCCUCAUGGCAACUACUUCCUCCAAUACAAGCAAAAAUAAAUAA
This 396-nucleotide ribosomal RNA is filed under the name Triticum aestivum (bread wheat). RNAcentral describes it as "partial small subunit ribosomal RNA". The record is from RNAcentral. Lineage: Eukaryota; Viridiplantae; Streptophyta; Magnoliopsida; Poales; Poaceae.